GUCAACACCGUCUUGGAUGGUCCCUUGACGUUUCUUAUAAUAGAAGAUUUGAUUGUAGGGUGUUCCAUUUCUUACCACAAUUAGUUAAUUUGUGAAGGAAUAGGAACCAUGCCAGCAGUUCGAGGAGAUGGCAUGCGUGGCUUGGCUGUUUUUAUAUCAGAUAUUAGAAAUUGUAAAAGUAAAGAAGCAGAAAUAAAAAGAAUUAAUAAGGAACUGGCAAAUAUACGAAGCAAAUUCAAAGGAGACAAAACUUUGGAUGGAUACCAGAAGAAAAAAUAUGUCUGCAAGUUAUUAUUUAUAUUUUUACUUGGCCAUGACAUUGAUUUUGGUCAUAUGGAAGCUGUGAAUCUUCUGUCAUCUAACAAAUACUCAGAAAAACAAAUUGUAAGAACUGUAUACACACAUAUUUAGAUAUUUACCAGAAAUAUCUUUUGGUGGAGAUUUCGAAAAGAAUAUUCAAACUGAAAACUGGUUUAUGCAACACUAUCUGAGAAAUAAAUCUAAUGACUUAUUUGUAAGGUAGUAUUGGAAACUGUCAUUGAAAUAAUGUAAAGAAA
Long non-coding RNA from Leptinotarsa decemlineata (Colorado potato beetle), 557 nucleotides. NCBI's taxonomy places the organism in Eukaryota, Metazoa, Arthropoda, Insecta, Coleoptera, Chrysomelidae. The record is from RefSeq and is a predicted model, not a curated record.